RNAcentral lists this ribosomal RNA (60 nucleotides) under Saprolegnia sp. WD1I. RNAcentral describes it as "partial 18S ribosomal RNA". Lineage: Eukaryota; Oomycota; Saprolegniomycetes; Saprolegniales; Saprolegniaceae. The record is from RNAcentral.
UUUGGGAGGUGAAGUCGUAACCAAGGUUUCCGGUAGGUGAACCUGCGGGAAUGAUCAUUA